CACGUAGGCGGCCAUUCAAGUCAGAGGUGAAAGCCCGGGGCUCAACCCCGGAAUUGCCUUUGAAACUAGAUGGCUUGAAUCUUGGAGAGGCGAGUGGAAUUCCGAGUGUAGAGGUGAAAUUCGUAGAUAUUCGGAAGAACACCAGUGGCGAAGGCGACUCGCUGGACAAGUAUUGACGCUGAGGUGCGAAAGCGUGGGGAGCAAACA
This 207-nucleotide ribosomal RNA is filed under the name uncultured bacterium. Its description in RNAcentral is "partial 16S ribosomal RNA". It matches the Rfam family "Bacterial small subunit ribosomal RNA", at positions 568 to 774 of the family's 1533-position model. The record is from RNAcentral.